CUCCGCCAGCGACCGGCGCACGGGUGAGUAACACGUAUGCAACCUGCCCCUGUCAGGGGGACAACCCGCCGAAAGGCGGGCUAAACCCGCGUACAUGCCACCGGGGCAUCCCGGAGGCAGGAAAGGCUUCGGCCGGACAGGGAUGGGCAUGCGGCGCAUUAGGCAGUAGGCGGGGUAACGGCCCACCUAACCGACGAUGCGUAGGGGUUCUGAGAGGAAGGUCCCCCACACUGGUACUGAGACACGGACCAGACUCCUACGGAAGGCAGCAG
This 272-nucleotide ribosomal RNA is filed under the name uncultured bacterium. RNAcentral describes it as "partial 16S ribosomal RNA". It matches the Rfam family "Bacterial small subunit ribosomal RNA", at positions 83 to 354 of the family's 1533-position model. The record is from RNAcentral.